Molecule: ribosomal RNA, 454 nt
Filed under: uncultured bacterium
Lineage: Bacteria
Description: bacterial SSU rRNA
Rfam family: Bacterial small subunit ribosomal RNA
Source: RNAcentral
UACGGGAAGGCAGCAGUGGGGAAUAUUGCACAAUGGGCGCAAGCCUGAUGCAGCCAUGCCGCGUGUAUGAAGAAGGCCUUCGGGUUGUAAAGUACUUUCAGUCGUGAGGAAGGUGUUAAGGUUAAUAACCUUAGCAAUUGACGUUAGCGACAGAAGAAGCACCGGCUAACUCCGUGCCAGCAGCCGCGGUAAUACGGAGGGUGCGAGCGUUAAUCGGAAUUACUGGGCGUAAAGGGCACGCAGGCGGUUAAUUAAAUUGGAUGUGAAAUCCCCGGGCUUAACCUGGGAAUGGCAUUCAAGACUGGUUAGCUAGAGUCUUGUAGAGGGGGUAGAAUUCCAUGUGUAGCGGUGAAAUGCGUAGAGAUGUGGAGGAAUACCGGUGGCGAAGGCGGCCCCUGGGACAAAGACUGACGCUCAUGUGCGAAAGCGUGGGGAGCAAACAGGAUUAGAUACC